GUUUAGAUGAGAAAUCCGCUCUUUGCUCAGCCACUGAAAAGCAACUGGAGGAAUGUCUCGAGUUGAUGGAACAGAUGGAGUUGGAGGCUCGUGAUCAGCCGGCUCCCCUGAGAGUCCGAGCCACGGCUCAAACUCGAAGUCUCCGCACAGAGCUGAGCUCCCUUGAGGCUGACUACAAGCGAUCUCGCAUCGCCUACAGCGAUGAGCUCUCUGUGAGGGAGAAGUUGCUAAGCAGUGAUGGAAAAACAUCAUCACAUGGACAGAGGUCCCUGUUGCUAGGCAACACAGAGAGGUUGGAGUCAGCGAGUAGCCAUCUGGAGGCCGGAUACAGAACGGUGGUGGAGACUGAACAAAUUGGACAAGACAUUCUUGACAAUCUCCAUCGGGAUAGAGAAACUAUUCAGAGAGCAAGAGAGAGGCUAAGAGAGACAGACUCUCACCUGGGUAAAAGUUCAAGAGUUCUGUCUGGAAUGAUGCGCAGGUAAGAGAUCAGGUUGAUACAGAACCGAGUGAUCCUCAUGGCGGUUGCCGUGGCGACCCUCAUCGUCAUCAUCAUCGCCGUCUACUUCUCUGUCCGCUAGGCCACGCCUAGGCCUCUGCUAGGCCUGGCCAGGCCUCACCUAGGCCUCCAGCCCUCACCUAGGCCUCUCCUAGGCCUGACAAGGCAUCUCCUAGGCCUGGCUAGGCCUGGUAAGGCCUCUCCUAGGCCUCUACUAGGUCUGGCUAGGCUUCUCCUAGGCCUGGCAAGGCGUCUCCUAUGCCUUGCUAGGCCUCUCCUAGGCCUGGCCAGGCCUCUCCUAGACCUGGCUAGGCCUCUGCUAGGCCUGGUGAGGCCUCUCCUAGACCUGGCUAGGCCUCUGCUAGGCCUGGCUAGGCCUCUGCUAGGCCUAGCCAGGCCUCUCCUAGACCUAGCUAGGCCUCUCCUAGACCUCUGCUAGACCUAGCCAGGCCUCUCCUAAACCUGGCUAGGCCUCUCCUAGACCUAGCUAGGCCUCUCCUAGACCUGGCUAGGCCUCUGCUAGGUCUGGCUAGGCCUCUGCUAGGCCUAGCCAGGCCUCUCAUAGGCCUGGCUAGGCCUCUGCUAGGCCUAGCUAGGCCUCUGCUAGACCUGGCUAGGCCUCUGCUAGGCCUGGCCAGGCCUCUCCUCGACCUAACUAGGCCUCUCCUAGACCUGGCUAGGCCUCUCCUAGACCUAGCUAGGCCUCUCCUAGACCUGGCUAGGCCUCUGCUAGGUCUGGCUAGGCCUCUGGUAGGCCUAGCCAGGCCUCUCCUAGGCCUGGUUAGGCCUCUCCUAGGCCUAGCUAGGCUGCUCCUAGGCCAGGCUAGGCCGCUCCUAGGCCUGGCUAGGCCUCUCAUAGGCCUGGCUAGGCCUCUCAUAGGCCUGGCUAGGCCUCUGCUAGGCCUAGCUAGGCCUCCCCUAGACCUGGCUAGGCCUCUGCUAGGCCUAGCCAGGCCUCUCAUAGGCCUGGCUAGGCCUAGCUAGGUCUCUCCUAGACCUGGCUAGGCCUCUGCUAGGCCUGGCCAGGCCUCUCCUAGACCUAACUAGGCCUCUCCUAGACCUGGAUAGGCCUCUCCUAGACCUAGCUAGGCCUCUCCUAGACCUGGCUAGGCCUCUGCUAGGUCUGGCUAGGCCUCUGCUAGGCCUAGCCAGGCCUCUCAUAGGCCUGGCUAGGCCUCUGCUAGGCCUAGCUAGGCCUCCCCUAGACCUGGCUAGGCCUCCCCUAGACCUGGCUAAGCCUCUCCUAGGCCUGGCCAGGCCUCUCCUAGGCCUGGCUAGGCCUUGCCUAGGUGUCUCCUAGGCUUUGCCGGGCCUAGUUGAGACCUACCAACUGGGUGUGGCUUCAAAUGAGUCUUGUAAGAAAUGUCUUGGUGUAAAGCAGAAACAUUCUCUCAGUGGGUGUGACUCUUAUAGUCUCUAUUCAUAUCUAUAGCGUGUCCUGUCCGCCUUUGUCUCCCUCCCGUGUCUCUCUGUAUCUCUCUCUCUGUGUCUAUUUGUGUCUCCCUGUGUGUCUGUCUCUGUGUCUCUCUGUGUGUGUCUCUCUCUAUCUGUGUGUGUGUCUCUAU
Petromyzon marinus (sea lamprey) is the source of this 2064-nucleotide non-coding RNA. The record is from RefSeq and is a predicted model, not a curated record. NCBI's taxonomy places the organism in Eukaryota, Metazoa, Chordata, Hyperoartia, Petromyzontiformes, Petromyzontidae.